Molecule: long non-coding RNA, 556 nt
Organism: Amphimedon queenslandica
Lineage: Eukaryota; Metazoa; Porifera; Demospongiae; Haplosclerida; Niphatidae
Exons: 2
Source: RefSeq, a predicted model, not a curated record
AGCUAAACUAACCCUUUUCCAGGCCAGUGCCAGCAAGUACCUCCUACCAUUAAACCUCUCACUGGUUCACUGGCUAUACACAAGCCCCACGCUCUCUGAAAGUGAAAGUUUUAUGCUUGUCAAAGGAGCUCAAGGUUUGUUCCAUUCUUUCUCCAAAGUCUUCCCCUAACUCGACUCCACUCCAUCAAACUCUAUUAGUAAAGAAAUCACUACAGUUAGUCUUUAGUCAUUGUGUUCCCUAAUGCUGUGUGUUUAUUGUAAUGGCUUUCAACAAGAGAGUGUAUUAUUCUUUUAUUGCCAAUGGCUGUUUUUUAUUUUAGCAUAACCAAUUAAGAGACUAUAUAUACAUUAUGUGCUCAAGAAUAUUUUGAUAAUUCACAUCUUUAGUGCAAAUAGCCUAAAAAUUCCUUGACUUCAUUGAUUCACCACUACAUAUCCUCUAUCUUCUCUCUCUCUCUCUCUCUCUCUCUGUGUAUAUGUAAUGUCUGGCAUUUAAAAUUUGUAAUAGAAUCAUCUUGUAAUUCACUAUAUUAUUGUAACCUUCAUUGUAUUGUAA